GGCAACGGAUAUCUCGGCUCUCGCAUCGAUGAAGAACGUAGCGAAAUGCGAUACUUGGUGUGAAUUGCAGAAUCCCGUGAACCAUCGAGUCUUUGAACGCAAGUUGCGCCCGAAGCCUUCGGGCCGAGGGCACGCCUGCCUGGGCGUCACGCAUCGCGUCGCCUCAUCCCCCCUGCUC
Molecule: ribosomal RNA, 178 nt
Filed under: Justicia acutangula
Lineage: Eukaryota; Viridiplantae; Streptophyta; Magnoliopsida; Lamiales; Acanthaceae
Description: 5.8S ribosomal RNA
Rfam family: 5.8S ribosomal RNA (bases 2-149)
About the family: 5.8S ribosomal RNA (5.8S rRNA) is a component of the large subunit of the eukaryotic ribosome. It is transcribed by RNA polymerase I as part of the 45S precursor that also contains 18S and 28S rRNA. Functionally, it is thought that 5.8S rRNA may be involved in ribosome translocation.
Source: RNAcentral